This is a non-coding RNA of Potamilus streckersoni, 77 nucleotides long. Lineage: Eukaryota; Metazoa; Mollusca; Bivalvia; Unionida; Unionidae. The record is from the annotation of a GenBank genome assembly.
GACCGCUCCGUUAGCCUAGUGGUUAGAGCGUCCGCCUAGGAUACGGAAGGUCGUGGGUUAGUUACCCGGACUAGUCA